This is a long non-coding RNA of Gasterosteus aculeatus (three-spined stickleback), 4323 nucleotides long. Lineage: Eukaryota; Metazoa; Chordata; Actinopteri; Perciformes; Gasterosteidae. The record is from Ensembl.
GUGCUGUAUUACCAUAAUGACUUCUUGUGACGAAGAUGUACUCAGCAGCAGUAUGGAAAUGGCACAUGCCAGGGAGCACAUUAUCAGAGCCAAAUGCUUUGGGAUGUCGUUUGUUUGUCCGUCCUCCAGGAUCCUCAGUCUGUCUGCCGCUCCCUGCCUGGAUUUCCCGCCUGGAUUUCCCCACUGUCUCCAUAGCUGUGUCCCUGGCAAUAAACCAGUUUCCCCCGGACCUAGUCUCUGCAUUAGGGUCUGCCAGCACAUACCGUAACAGCCUCAGUCACAUUCACCUUCACAUUAGUAUCUUACUUCUCUUCCUUGAAAUUGGGAGAAUUUUCAGUAAAAUAAAAGUAAAGAGUAGAUCAAUUAAAAUAUACGGUUUCAUAAAAAAAUUAGGGCAUCAUGACACAUUAAAAUACUAAUUAAAGAUCUUUGAGACCUUUAGACAAUAACCUAAAUUUACCUAGACAUCAACGUAUGUCUAAUUGAGGCACUUAUAGUCAACUAUAACUGAUUAUGAUAGACAACUGACCGUCUUACCCCACAAAAAUGAACAAAAGGGUAAAAAUGUAAUGAACAUGACUGGCAUUUAAAUGAGAUGACAGCUACAAGCGUUACUAAGUUACAUAGUUUAAAUAGCCAGAACCUUUUAAAAUCAUCAAUAGAAUAAAACCUAAUUAAAGCAGACAACAAUAACACAUGCAGCAAUAGGAGAGCCGGCGGAUUUUACUCACAGAAAUGUUGCUAGGCAACAGUUUGUGAUUGAUGAAGUUCUCAUCGAGUGUUCAGCAUUGUGUUGGAUGAAUGGCAAAAUCCUCGUUCCUUCUCGGACCACAACUCGUCUGCUUGGCCUCUCGGGUCCAACCGUGCUACGUCAGAAAGUACCACUCACGUAGCAGGUCUAGGGCAUCCUUGGGGAUUGCUGGAUAAUCCACAAAAAGCAUUUAAGCAUUUAGCGUGCUGUCUUGACCCAACAUGACGCCAAUGCAAUUUUUAUAAACCUCUUCUCUACGUUCGUGGUCAGCGUGUGUCCCACUAUGACUGUGGAAACAGAGUUCCCUUAACCUACAAAAAAAUAUGUUCCUGUUUUAGUACAUAAUGCAGCAGAGUAUUGCAGCCAGUGUUCACUAAUUGGAGACAUACUACGUUUUGUUGGCUGACACAGCCUAGUAGUCAGUUAUCAAGUCAGAAGUAGGAUCAUUUUAUUUUACACUACAAUACCGUCAGCCUUAAUUUUGUUUGUGGAGGUGUCGAAAAACAAUCAUUUUGUGCUUCACUUCCCAGAACCUGAGGUUGCCGCCUUAUGAAUGAUUCCACUUUUAAAGGAGGCUCUGAGAAAUAAAGCGAACGUUAGGCCAACGAGAAAUGGAUCAUUUCAUUGGUCAACACUACAUCUGGCAUAUUAGUUGGGGAAUUUAGAGAUGGUUAUUGCACAGAAAAUCCUGAACACAGUGUAAGGAGAAGAUCAAAAACAGAGUGUAGUCAAUCUGUGCAAGCAAUAUAUCUGAGAGCAAGUUAGAGCAGAAGCGUAGCAAAUGAGUGCAAGCUGGGGUUAUUUUAGUGCAAAGCAGGGUUAGGAGCGAAAACCAAAACUCAACGUGAAGUCAACGAGUCUUGCUCUGAAACUGAAAGACCACACUUUCAAACAAAGACGAAGGAAAAAAAGCCCAAUGACAAUUUCAGCUCAAAUGCCAUCGCAAAGAUCACCUCACUUACUUCCCCCCCAAAUGGUGCAGAGUUCUUGGUGUCUGACAUAUCUAGUUUUUGGGACUCAUGGGGACAGAUGGAGGAAUCGGUUCUCAUUGCCCCCUUCCUCGCUUCAGCUUUCGUCCCCUGGGAGGACUCACAUUUCCCUCAACGCAGAGGUGUUUUCAAAUUAAAUACUAUCUAAUGAACUGGAAAACCGGCACCCACCCUGCUGUGUAUGUGUGUGUGUGUGUGUAUUUGUGGAGUAUGUGUUGGGGAAGUGCUGGUGAGCACGAUGAGAAGAUAAGGAGAGAGACAGAGUGAGAGAUUAAAAGAGAGAGGUAUUUGCAUAGCAAUCCAGUGAUUGCAGAGGCUGUGUGUGGCGUCAUGAAGCGUGUGUUCGUUAAUUGUAUAUCUCUGCAGUUCUAAUUGCUUUAAUUCCCUGUAAUUAAUCAGUAAUUGCAGUGAGGAGCCACGCAAAGAACUUUUCAAUAUGGAGUACAUAAAUAUAGAUGAGAGGAAACCUACGAAGAUUAUUUGGAAAUAGACCAAGGGACAUAGACACAGAGAGAGAGAAGCAAAUAAGAAAUAAAGAAAGUUCAAGCCUAGUAGGUAUUCUCUGAAAGGCCUGAAGAACUGCGUAAGUAAAUCCCCACAACUCACCUUAACCUAAGGUCACCUAACGCAUCGACACUCAAAAGUUCACAUCUCCUCUUUGAGAUUUGGGGCUUUAUAUGUUCCUGUGUCACAAUGUUUUACCUGUUCAGAAGUGUUGGGCGUGAUGUUUCUAUGUGCGCACACAGGACGGCAGCUGAUUCCAGGGGGAGCCCUGUCCCACCAGAGAGAAUCAAUCCUUCCCACUCACCAUACGGCUGGAAGGUAAUCCCCUCCCCUCCCCUCUCUCUCUCUCUCUCUCUCUCUCUCUCUCUCUCACUGUACCAUCCUCCUGCGCUCACUUCAUACCUCUCCCUUCCCCCAUCAUUAAUUCCCAAUUAAGACAGCAGCCCACCCACACACCUCCUUCCAGCGCAUAAUGCACAUAAAUGCUUUUUUCUGGUCAGUCUUUUAAUUUACAAAGGUUUGAGCUGAGGCCAGCAAACUCACUGAUCUGUGUAAAGGUCCGCGUGCGUGUGCGCGUGCAUGUUUUUGGUGCGUAUGUUGUAUAAUGAUCGCUUCUCUGUUCCUCUCCCGAACGCUGGAUGAAAGCGAACCUUUGUCAUUCUUGAUCGUUCUUUAAAUGAGAGUUGGCGGCUGGUCUUCGGUGACCUGCUGCGGCCCUCCCUCCUCCUCUGCCUCCUAUCUGUCCCCUCACACUUCCCCACCAACCCUGUGCCUCACAAAUAGCCUUAGCUCCCUCGUAACAAGCUGGGUUCUCAUAGAUCUCCAUCAAUUUGUGUCACACCAGGGAUUCCCUGAACAAAGUUGCCUUUGCCCACAACAGCUAUGCAUUAUUAAGGCUGUAAAAAACAGCCCGGAAAAGCGGCUGCGUGAUCCUGGGUUACAGAUACAAGGACGAGCGAGAAACAGGCAAAGCAGCAGAACAUAAGACGGAGGGUGGAAGAGAAAGGCUAAUGAUAAAAGGUCCUCAUUUUAAAUGCCAACGUGCAUUCCUCGGGUAUCUUGGUGGAUUUGACUGCUAAGUGGACCUCCAUACUGUACAUUUAUUUAAAAGAUUUCACAGGAACCGUCGCAGCAGUGACUCACAGUAGCAUGUGGGACUCGCAUCUAUCUCCAAAAUGUAAUAGAAAUAAAAUGCGGCACGUCAAAAAGCCCCCGGAAUAAACAUAAACAUUCACCUCCUGUGACCCUUCAAACAGCACGCUGCUCACAGCUACAGCGGCGAGUACGCUGUGACCGACACAUACGCCGGGAUUCAUCGUGUGUCCAGAAAGGGCAAUAGACACACAGCCAUGCCGUGUAGCGCAAUAACUUACUCAGGACAACAGUUCACCUUUAAAUAUAUAUUUUAGAAAUCUGACAUGAUUCACGAGCAGGAGCAGCAUUCUGUGGCACGAUUACAGACUGGACCAUCAGGCUCUAAUUUGGGAUUUAAUUAAAGGAAGUCAACAUGAAGAAACUGCACUGUCAAAAAAUGGGAAAUUAUGUUAACCCAGAGUAUGCUUCAUUAAGUGUUUAGCCGCUUAUGAGUCUCAUUUAACUCCUGUGCUGAAAGGUCACCAACCUCAACAAUGGUCCAUUUGACCAUGAAAUAAAUGUGCAAGUACAUUUUCAACCACCAUGGAACGGGAUUGAUAACAAAACUGUCCAGAAGAAACCAGAUUAUAAAAUAGUGUUUCAGCAAAUGAAAGUAUUUGGAGGAUUUAGGGUCGAGUCAAGUCACAAUGAGGCGUACGUUAAGUCCUGAGGGGAACGCACGUCCUUCGCUCGCCACCCUCUCUGCCCCAAAGCAAGUUGAACUCCGUCCCGCAGUUAUGAGUGAGUUAGUAACAGACAAGAACAAAGCCAACGGGCCGAGGUAUCAGUGGAAAAGAUUCAUUUGUUCAUCUUGGGCCACUCUAUUUAACCCAGCAGACUGCUAAUCAUCAUCACCAUGGAAACGUAGCUCCCCUAAACUCGUCUAAGUAGUCAUUUACCACAAGCUUUCCCUUGAUGUAGCAAAGCCAUUUUUUGCCUGAAGUU